UGUUGGUUCAAGCCUGUAGUCGUGCCUGGUAGGUAAAUCCGCCGGGCUUAGAUGAGGGGUGAUAACGAGGCUGCUUGCAGCCGAAGUGAGUGAUACCCUGCUUCCAGGAAAAGCCACUAAGCUUCAGCUACACACGACCGUACCGCAAACCGACACUGGUGCGCGAGAUGAGUAUUCUAAGGCGCUUGAGAGAACUCUGGAGAAGGAACUCGGCAAAUUGACACCGUAACUUCGGAAGAAGGUGUGCCUUUAGUAGGUGAAGGGAUUUACUCCUGGAGCCCAAUGAGGUUGCAAAAAAUCGGUGGCUGCGACUGUUUAUUAAAAACACAGCACUCUGCAAACACGAAAGUGGACGUAUAGGGUGUGACGCCUGCCCGGUGCUGGAAGAUUAAAUGAUGUGGUGAGAGCUCUUGAUUGAAGUCCCAGUAAACGGCGGCCGUAACGAUAACAGUCCUAAGGUAGCGAAAUUCCUUGUCGGGUAAGUUCCGACCUGCACGAAUGGCGUAACGAUGGCCACACUGUCUCCUCCAGAGACUCAGCGAAGUUGAAAUGUUUGUGAUGAUGCAAUCUCCCCGCGGAAAGACGGAAAGACCCCAUGAACCUUUACUGUAGCUUUGUAUUGGACUUUGAACAGAUCUGUGUAGGAUAGGUGGGAGGCUUUGAAGUAGGGUCGCUAGAUCUUAUGGAGCCAACGUUGAAAUACCACCCUGGUGUGUUUGAGGUUCUAACCUAGGUCCAUUAUCUGGAUCGGGGACAGUGCAUGGUAGGCAGUUUGACUGGGGCGGUCUCCUCCCAAAGCGUAACGGAGGAGUUCGAAGGUACGCUAGUUACGGUCGGACAUCGUGACGAUAGUGCAAUGGCAUAAGCGUGCUUAACUGCGAGACUGACAAGUCGAGCAGAUGCGAAAGCAGGACAUAGUGAUCCGGUGGUUCUGUAUGGAAGGGCCAUCGCUCAACGGAUAAAAGGUACUCUGGGGAUAACAGGCUGAUACCGCCCAAGAGUUCAUAUCGACGGCGGUGUUUGGCACCUCGAUGUCGGCUCAUCUCAUCCUGGGGCUGUAGCCGGUCCCAAGGGUAUGGCUGUUCGCCAUUUAAAGAGGUACGUGAGCUGGGUUUAAAACGUCGUGAGACAGUUUGGUCCCUAUCUUCCGUGGGCGCUGCAGAUUUGAGGAAGCCUGCUCCUAGUACGAGAGGACCGGAGUGGACACACCUCUGGUGUAUCGGUUGUCACGCCAGUGGCAUUGCCGAGUAGCUAUGUGUGGAAGAGAUAACCGCUGAAAGCAUCUAAGCGGGAAACUCGUUUCAAGAUGAGAUCUGCCGGGGCCUUGAGCCCCCUGAAGAGUCGUUCAAGACCAGGACGUUGAUAGGUCGGGUGUGUAAGUGCAGCAAUGCAUUGAGCUAACCGAUACUAAUUGCUCGUGCGGCUUGACCCC
This 1432-nucleotide ribosomal RNA is filed under the name metagenome. RNAcentral describes it as "bacterial LSU rRNA". It matches the Rfam family "Bacterial large subunit ribosomal RNA", at positions 1505 to 2925 of the family's 2925-position model. The record is from RNAcentral.